UUCGGGGGUACUCGAGCGGCGAACGGGUGAGUAACACGUGAGUAAUCUGCCCUGCGCUCUGGGGUAGCCACCGGAAACGGUGAUUAAUACCGGAUAGGACCACUUCACGCAUGUGAUGGUGGUGGAAAGUUUUUUCGGCGCAGGAUGUGCUCGCGGCCUAUCAGCUUGUUGGUGAGGUAACGGCUCACCAAGGCUUUGACGGGUAACCGGCCUGAGAGGGUGACCGGUCACACUGGGACUGAGACACGGCCCAGACUCCUACGGGAGGCAGCAGUGGGGAAUAUUGGACAAUGGGCGGAAGCCUGAUCCAGCAACGCCGCGUGAGGGAUGACGGCCUUCGGGUUGUAAACCUCUUUCAGUACCGACGAAGCGAAAGUGACGGUAGGUACAGAAGAAGGACCGGCCAACUACGUGCCAGCAGCCGCGGUAAUACGUAGGGUCCGAGCGUUGUCCGGAAUUAUUGGGCGUAAAGGGCUCGUAGGCGGUUUGUCGCGUCGGGAGUGAAAACACCGGGCUCAACUCGGUGCUUGCUUUCGAUACGGGCAGACUAGAGGUAUGCAGGGGAGAAUGGAAUUCCUGGUGUAGCGGUGAAAUGCGCAGAUAUCAGGAGGAACACCGGUGGCGAAGGCGGUUCUCUGGGCAUUACCUGACGCUGAGGAGCGAAAGUGUGGGGAGCGAACAGGAUUAGAUACCCUGGUAGUCCACACCGUAAACGUUGGGCGCUAGGUGUGGGGCCUAUUCCAUGGGUUCCGUGCCGUAGCUAACGCAUUAAGCGCCCCGCC
Molecule: ribosomal RNA, 782 nt
Filed under: uncultured Nocardioides sp.
Lineage: Bacteria; Bacillati; Actinomycetota; Actinomycetes; Propionibacteriales; Nocardioidaceae
Description: bacterial SSU rRNA
Rfam family: Bacterial small subunit ribosomal RNA
Source: RNAcentral